AUACAACAAUCAUAAAGUUGCAAAUAUAAUAAUCAUAAAGACUUAUGAUGUCAAUAUUAUCGAUUCUUUAAAAGCUCCAAAUUAACGGGAGGUAAUUCAUGUUUACAAUACAAUAUAAACAAAGCUAAACUAUAAAUAAAUAUACUCUUACCACUUGUGGAGUGAGUUGUACUACUGAUAAGGUUAACGGCACAUCAUAUACACAUCACAAUCAUGUGUUCUACAUAAUUACAUUACAUGGAGUCCUGAAACCAAAAUACGAACAUAAAUACUCGGACUCUUAAUUAUAAAAAUAUACAAUGUAACAAAUAUUCUUUACUCAUUCAUAUUUGUACUUGAUAA
Molecule: long non-coding RNA, 342 nt
Filed under: Mytilus galloprovincialis (Mediterranean mussel)
Lineage: Eukaryota; Metazoa; Mollusca; Bivalvia; Mytilida; Mytilidae
Source: RNAcentral